Molecule: long non-coding RNA, 401 nt
Filed under: Felis catus (domestic cat)
Lineage: Eukaryota; Metazoa; Chordata; Mammalia; Carnivora; Felidae
Description: lncRNA (ENSFCAG00000048541.1)
Source: RNAcentral
AUGGCUCCCAACGACACUAAGGGAGUCUUCAAAGGAGGGCAAAUGGCCUUCAGAACAAGAGGGUCCAAGAUGACCAGUAAAUCUUCUUUGUUCCAGCUCCAGCAGAGAGGAGAUAAGAAAAAACUAUUUAUGGUCAUCAGGGAAGAGGAAGAAAUCCCUAGCUGGUCACCAAGAGCUGAAGUAAAGUCUUCCCAGAACAGAGUCUGUGAAGAUACGGCAGACGUGUUUGAGUUUCAGAUGAUCAGCAGUGCAGGAAUCAGUCUGCACAGAAAACACGAAAGUGAGAAUGGAGAAGAAGCUAUUUCACCCAUGAAAUGGGCCAGUGAGAUUCCUCACCUCCAGUCCUGGAAGAUGCCUGGAAACCGGUGCCCUUUGUCAGCCUCGUGAAUUCAUAAUCACUU